UUAUAAUAGCUGACGAAGGCUUAUAAAUAGAAAAAAAUGUUUUACCUUAUACAAGAAAUACAUACACAAUAUUUCUUAAAUUAAGAAAUAGUUGUACAUAAUAAAGAAAUUUCGAAUUUGGCGCGUUUUUCUUUCAUUCUCCACAUUCAUCUUCUCGCGAGGAAGAAGAAGCGAUGAUUGAAUUCGGGGACCUCAGUCCUCGCAAUGCGCCGAUGACAGGGAUCCUUUCGACUCUUUCAAGGCGUAUUUCUCUUCGAUCACAAGAGCAUUCGGUAUGUUCGUAUCUGUUUUUCAAUUCCCCUUAUCUUCCACCCCGAAUGGCUGAAUUUUCGUUUUCGAUUUCUUGAUCACAUGAGAUAUCUCAUUUGCAUAUUCGAUGGAGUAGCAAUUCUUCGUAAUGACGAUUAGUUGAUUGAUGUCGUCACGGACAACAUUGAAAUACUGUUGUUUGAAUCGUUAGCUCUCUUUUCCCGCCCUAGCUCUUAUUUUUAGGUAAAGAUACCUAAAUUUUGAUCCCAACUAUUCGUCAAAAUCAAGAGUUCUAGAAGCAAAUUUGUUUCAGUCUGUCUAUUGAAAUCUCUGUUUCAGGAGUUAGUCAUAUGAGCUAAAAUGUUCUCUGCAGUUCGUGGGGAUUCCUCUCUCUGGUGGCUUCGUAUUUUAUGAUGAAUAUUCUCCUCGUUUUGCCGGCUACCGAGUUACUAAAUUUCAAUUGUUUUCUCAGAAUAGAUUCGUUUUCCCGCAGCAUGCUUAAGCGUAAUUAUAUGAUGUCUAUCACCCACAACGAAUUUGAAAGUUGUUAUGUGACGAAGAACAUUUUCUAUCAAAUUUUUGUUCCUCUAGAUCAGUGAUUGAAAUCUAAAUGAAUAGAGGUCCAAUUUGAAAGUUGGUCUAGGUAUGCACUGGGAGAACAUUUUAUAUCAGAUUGUGUUCCACCAGACCAGUGAUCUUUGAUCACUGUAAUUUUGACGGUAUUCAAGAGGAAAAUCAAGAAGCCAUUGUCACGUGCUCACAAAGUUCACUUGUCAAACUUCGCAACCCUUCAAGGCGAGAAAGGAAUCGUAUAAAGCAACAGCUAUAGCUGGAUUUGUGGGUCUUGGUGAUCCAGUAAGUUGAUAACUGUCAAGACAAACAGCUCAUAAUUUCCUCUGAUAAAUUCGAGGCCUGGCUGGCUUUUGAUGAGUGGCUAUUCUAUUACACAUCAAGUUUGUUACCUUCAAGGCGAGGAAGGAACCAUAAAGAGCUGCAGCUGGCUGGAUUUCGUAGGGUUUGGCGAUCCGGUAUUCAAGAUUUCAGUUCAGUUGGAGAGUGAUAAAUUGGGAUAUGGACGGAGGGCAUGGCUUUAGUAAUUAUAGGCUAUGGAACUACUCUCCAAUGUUUUUUCAGACACCAGUAGGGAAAAAAGUGGCAGGAAUUUUGGAGUAUUGCUCUAAUUUUCUGAGUCAAAUCAGAGUCUUACAACACAUCGUGGCUUGAUUUUGGAGGCAAAUAACUAUUCUUUGUUGACAAACAUGGUGAAUAUAUUCGAAAAAAUCAA
Molecule: long non-coding RNA, 1534 nt
Organism: Cucumis sativus (cucumber)
Lineage: Eukaryota; Viridiplantae; Streptophyta; Magnoliopsida; Cucurbitales; Cucurbitaceae
Exons: 4
Source: RefSeq, a predicted model, not a curated record